GAGCGAGAAAGCGGAGCAAUCCGUGAGUAAAGCGGCGGUACGGGCNCNUUNACACGCUGGAUCAUCAUACCUUUUAGAUGGGGGCUAACCCUGGGAAACCGGAGCUAAUACCGCAUAAGCCUGAAAAGGGAAAGCAGCAAUGCGCUGAAAGAGGAGUCCGCGGCCGAUUAGCUAGUUGGUGAGGUAACGGCCCACCGAGGCGAUGAUCGGUAGCCGGCCUGAGAGGGCACACGGCCACACUGGCACUGAAACACGGGCCAGACUCCUACGGGAGGCAGCAGUGGGGAAUCUUGCACAAUGGAGGCAACUCUGAUGCAGCGACGCCGCGUGAGCGAUGAAGCCCUUCGGGGUGUAAAGCUCUUUCGGCAGGGACGAUAAUGACGGUACCUGAAGAAGAAGCUGCGGCUAACUACGUGCCAGCAGCCGCGGUAAUACGUAGGCAGCGAGCGUUGUUCGGAAUUACUGGGCGUAAAGAGUGUGUAGGCGGCGCUCUAAGUUCGGUGUGAAAUCUCCCGGCUUAACUGGGAGGGUGCGCCGGAAACUGGAGUGCUUGAGCGUGGGAGAGGAAAGCGGANUUCCUGGUGUACCGNUGAAAUGCGUAGAUAUCAGGAGGAAACACCUGCGGUGUANACUGCUUUUCUGGACCAUUGCUGACNCUGAGACA
This 664-nucleotide ribosomal RNA is filed under the name uncultured bacterium. RNAcentral describes it as "bacterial SSU rRNA". It matches the Rfam family "Bacterial small subunit ribosomal RNA", at positions 64 to 753 of the family's 1533-position model. The record is from RNAcentral.